GCGUAAAGGGGGUAGCCGUGACCAAAUGACCCAUUGCCUGCGCUAUAUUUAUUAUGUUCCAACAGUUAAAUAAUGGGUCUGAAUGUUCCAGAAUCGGUUCAAGGUAUUAGUUUUAUGUACGUGCAUGCUUCAUGAGGUUAUCGCUCCGCUUCAUUUUGUCUGCGGCACUCGAUAAUAACAUCGCGUUUGGCGAUUAAUAUGAUUGAUUUACCCUCCAUGUUUACCAUUAAACGUGCGACAGGCCAAAUCAUUUUUUGUGCAUUUAGUUUUAUGGUGGACAGCUGAAGUCAACUUGUGCUGGGGUUGUUGUUUUUCACGUUAAGCCUCUCCGCAAUUUUCUUUUGACUACACGUGCUUUUGUUAUAGGUCAUUUCUGAAGUAAGGCGGUGAGUAAUCUAUUGACAUGAUGCCAUUGUCCUCCUAAGCGAACCUAUUGUAAGGAUAAUCUUAGGUUCUUUAACUUCCUGCUGCCAGAUAACCAGUUGUAUAAAUCAUUUAGCUUUUCUCCAGUGUUACCUCCAUAUUAAUUGGCUAUUUUAAGUACUUAGCCAUAUAUUAAAUUAUAUAUUCUUUUUCAUAGCGCCUGACUGUUUCGUCAUUCACGAGUAAUAGAAUAUCCUGGCUCCCACUGUGGACAGCUUCUGUUUGGGGGGGGGGGUGUUCUGAGGACACCCCUCCAAUACAGAUAUGCUGGGAGAUAAAAUCUGCAGAGCCAACCUGCUUUUAAACAGACAUGCUUUUGUUGGCUGGAUAAAGCAGACAGACAAUCACUUUUCAAUACCCUGAUAGCGUGAUGUGAAUGCCUCUCAAACAUUGUUAUUUAUAAUACCGAUCAAAAAUGUCCUGCGGUAAGUGCCCGUCAAUUGAUUUAUGAUAUUUGAACAGCAGUGACAACCUGUGCACAUAUUCUUUCCAUAUUGCACUAUAGGGUGUUUCAGUAUUUACAUAUGUGCAGGAGGGGUUGGGGGGGGGGACAGUCAUGAUAAAUAACCUGCAUAGAAAGCAGUCGCAUGCAGUCAGUGUGUGGUGUGUGUCUGCGUCUCUGUGACAAGCGUGGAUCUUUUUUUUUCCCCCCUGUAAUUUGUAGAAGGGAGUGUCCUGGCUUUUCAGUGUUCCAUGAACGGUGGCUAUUAGACAAACAGGCGGGGCCCACGUUCCCAGGGCUGAUGCUAUUGCUCAUCCCAGGUGGAUUUGCAGCCUAAUGCAGAGAUGAAGAUGACGGCAUUGGGAAACCGUCAGCCUCACAAAGGUUUUCUCUGGGCUAAAUCUGCCGCAGCUUAACUUGGCAGGACGGGGUAGUGCUGGACUGAGCCGGGCUGAGCUCAGCCGGGCCAGGCCUGCUUGGCGGGAUGAGAACGUUGGGGGUUUGGGUAGUAGAUCCGGGUCAGAUGCAGUUACAGAACGUGCCGGUCCAGUUUCUUCUCACGGUGCUCGGGGACAGUGAGUAAGAGGCUGUUUCGCAUGUCUGGGUUAUGAUGAGGCAGUAGGUUUCUGCGUGGACCUGUUCGCCAGUUCUGGGUUCUUCCCCAGGGUGGGAUGCUCGUACUUGUUUUUUCCCGCAUCUGCCUUGUCUUCAGAAGAACACCUUCACUCACUGUCUAGUGGCGACAGGGAUGACCGACAGCAGGUGCCAGAUCCCACUGACACUAAAAUGGCUUGUGUUGGCAUACAGAACGUUUUGCGCAACAAACACAAAGUUUCCAGUGUUUCUUUGUGCGCACCUGGGAUUUCAUGGGAAAGGAGCUGCCUGUCCAGGCCUGUCCCUCCAGUGCUCCCCCGCACACAAUGGCGAGGGCCUGAGCGACUAGCGGGCUGGAAUGCAGCUGCUCUUGGGUCCAUGCCGUGCAUAUCGCCCAUACCUGGCCGGGAGGCUGAGGGCCGCGGUGAGGAGAGAGAGGCCAAGGAGAAUGCAGGACUCGCAUUCCUGAAGGCCUUAAAGGUUCAUUGCAAGAUGACCAGUUUGACAACCCGCGUGUUCUGUGAGAAAAGCGGAAUCUGCAGGGCAGCGCCCCAGAACAGCGUGUCCCUUCACGCCGGCGCUCCUGUGUCAGCUGACGCGGCCCCUCCCACUCGGCAUGCCGUUCGAAAUGCGCGGGGCGUGCACCUACCAGAGCCCGCGGUCCGGAUCAGCCCGUAGAACCUGCAAUGCCAGGUGAGCCCAGACACAGCGGAGACUCUGCAGCGAAAUCAAGACCUGACUCGAAAGCUGCAGGGACAGACCGCAGGAAGACCACACCUCCGCCGGGAAGCGUGUGGGUUCCGUUCAGUAUGAAAUGGAACCACUGCACUCUGGUUGCGAGGGAGAAUAAGCAAUGGAACAUGAACAAGUACUUCAUAAUAAAGGAGAAUUAGUGCCCGGACCUCAUCACCACCCCGGCUGCCCCUGGCAUGCGUGCCCACGGCCGUCACCACACGUCUGCCAUAGCUCAAGCCUGGCACCAGCAGGUGUGCACGCUACACCCUUCCUACUAGCCCCCAGGCACGCAAAAACAAAGAAAACCUUGUGUAUGAUUGUGUGCGAAUGAGUAUACAUGUACAUGCCCUGUGAUGGACCGAGGUGUGUCCUGGUCUGGUGCACUAUGCUGCCUGCGAUUGGCUCCAGGCCUUACCACAUGACACUGACCAGAAUUUGCAGUUAAAAGAUGGAUGGAGAGAUGGAUGUAUUGGUUAAUGUGACCCGUGCCCAUCUAGCAGAGUCAGUAAAUUUGACACCACAUAAAACAUUUACUAAAGCUAAUUAAGAGCCCAGCUGCCCUGUGAAUUUAUAGACUACUUCCUUCCGGUGACCUCUUCCACACAUGUACUAUAAAUAACAGUGGCAUGUCUGGGGAAGAGAGUGACCCAGAUUUGUGUGUGGAGAUUGAAUCAUGUCACCAGCGUUGUAUUUGGGCUGGGGGGUCAGAGUCAUGCUUCUCCAAUUGAUUAUUUUAUAUCUAAUUAGGGACGAUGAUGUAAGAUUGUAUAUAUACAUGCUCAUGGCCAACUUGGGUAAUGGAUUCUGUGAUCGACAAUUUUUUUCACCGCAAGCCUCCUGUCAACAAGUUUCACCGUAUCAUCCUUGUCAGCCCCCACCCCGUUUGACAACUUAUACUAUAUCCCCCCUCCCCCCUGGGGGGUAGGGGGUUGUCUGACCAUGUUAAUGUGCCUCUGCAGAAAGGUGAAUUUUUGGAGAACAGUGUUCAAGUAAAUAGUUUGUCCUCACUUUUACUGGAGUGGAGCAUGCAUUUACAUGGUUUGUCCUCCGGGGGAGCUAUGACCAAGCUGCUCCGUUAUUGGUUAGGAAGAGAUGCUGAUUUGCCUGCUGUUUACCUUAAGGGAUUAUUUCAUACCCACAGGUGAUACACAACCUUUGUUAUACACAGUAGUGCCUCUAUUCUUUCAAAUGUGUGGGAUUUGUUGCUAAAGACAUCGGCCGUAAAGGUAACAUUUACUGCAUGUUUCCAGCACUAACAAGCAAUAAACAAAGACACGGUUGUUUGCCUAUUUUUAAUGAAUGCAGCUAAAGCUACUUAAUAUCCAGGCAUUGUGAACAGCAAACUGCUGUAUUCCAGUAUUUAUAGCUCUGUUCUCUUGUGUUUACAGUGCCCAUACAGUAUAGGAAAGUCCAUUCCAGUGUGGGCAGGGCUGGGCCACAACUGGGAACUGGUUCCCAAGUGACAGGAAUGCCUCAGAGACAAGAACCUUUUCUAAUCUCUGCAGGUCAAAUGAAAAAGAAAUCAAUUAACAAGAUAUAAAUGUUCUCACAUGCACAAAAAAAAAUCCUGGAAGAAGGUACCAAUUUCUACCUUUGAGGGUAAAUGUGUUUGUCACUGGAGCUGUACCUUAGUAAAUGUACCUUUUAAGGUAUAGAAAUGGACUUUGAAGAACGUUUUUUUUUCUGACAGUGUAGUAAAGAAGUAGUAUUACUCUCAUAUAGUGAUAUCUUUAAAUAUAUUUCAUGAUUAAUAUUUAAUUAAAUGUAUAUGUAAACAUUCCUUUCAGCCUGGGUUCCAGUCUCCCUGUAUUCAGAAAGACCCCCUGAGCCCUUCAUGUAUCUUUCUGGCUACAGCUCUUAGUGAAAGUGCAUCCUUACCUAUAUGUACUUUUUACAAUUGUCAAGCAUCAGCACGCUUGUGGUUCCCCCGGAUUCACAUGACAGAUGAGG
Paramormyrops kingsleyae is the source of this 4144-nucleotide long non-coding RNA. RefSeq lists it as uncharacterized. NCBI's taxonomy places the organism in Eukaryota, Metazoa, Chordata, Actinopteri, Osteoglossiformes, Mormyridae. The record is from RefSeq and is a predicted model, not a curated record.